Molecule: ribosomal RNA, 255 nt
Filed under: uncultured bacterium
Lineage: Bacteria
Description: partial 16S ribosomal RNA
Rfam family: Bacterial small subunit ribosomal RNA
Source: RNAcentral
UACGUAGGGUCCGAGCGUUUGUCCGGAGUUACUGGGCGUAAAGCGCGCGCAGGCGGCGGUGCUGGCCCGGCGUGAAAGCCCCCGGCUCAACCGGGGAGGGUCGUCGGGGACCGCACCGGCUUGAGGGCGGUAGGGGCUGGUGGAAUGCCUGGUGUAGUGGUGAAAUGCGUAGAGAUCAGGCGGAACACCCGUGGCGAAGGCGGCCAGCUGGGCCGUCCCUGACGCUGAGGCGCGAAGGCGUGGGGAGCGAACGGG